RNAcentral lists this ribosomal RNA (253 nucleotides) under uncultured bacterium. RNAcentral describes it as "partial 16S ribosomal RNA". It matches the Rfam family "Bacterial small subunit ribosomal RNA", at positions 524 to 776 of the family's 1533-position model. The record is from RNAcentral.
UACAGAGGUCCCAAGCGUUGUUCGGAUUCAUUGGGCGUAAAGGGUGCGUAGGCGGCGCGGUAAGUCGGGUGUGAAAUCUCGGAGCUUAACUCCGAAACUGCAUUCGAUACUGCCGUGCUUGAGGACUGGAGAGGAGACUGGAAUUUACGGUGUAGCGGUGAAAUGCGCAGAUAUCGGGAAGAACACCCGUGGCGAAGGCGGCUCUCUGGGACGGUACUGACGCUGAGACGCGAAAGCGUGGGGAGCGAACAGG